This 253-nucleotide ribosomal RNA is filed under the name uncultured bacterium. RNAcentral describes it as "partial 16S ribosomal RNA". It matches the Rfam family "Bacterial small subunit ribosomal RNA", at positions 524 to 776 of the family's 1533-position model. The record is from RNAcentral.
UACAGAGGUCUCAAGCGUUGUUCGGAUUCAUUGGGCGUAAAGGGUGCGUAGGUGGCGCCAUAAGUCAGGUGUGAAAUCUCGGGGCUUAACUCCGAAACUGCAUUUGAUACUGUGGUGCUUGAGGACUGGAGAGGAGACUGGAGUUCACGGUGUAGCAGUGAAAUGCGUAGAUAUCGUGAGGAAGACCAGUGGCGAAGGCGGGUCUCUGGACAGUUCCUGACACUGAGGCACGAAGGCCAGGGGAGCAAACGGG